UCGGGCCGAAGUUGAAAGUCACGAAACCUGCAACCGACUCCAUCGUCUCAAGCUGCCCGAAGACCUCGUCUCCUGUUGUUGGUCGAACCUUCUGGGUUAAAACACGAAUGUAGGGGUUUGAUUCGGCCUUGGGGAAGCUCCGGCUGAUUUUAUUUGGUGCUACAUAAUCGAGGUUGCUCGGCCCUCACCAAGUGGAGUUUCUUUACUGUGAUCCAAGAGUAGGGGCAAACUGAAGAUUUUACUGUCAACAUUUUAGCUCUUGAAGAGGCCCAGUAACUAGAAGACUAUUGGCUGUUAGCCAUGGUUCUCUAAGAGUGUUUCAACACAGGGAAGGUUUAACAGAUGGCAUUUCAUUCUGAGGAACAAACUGAGGAUUACCUUUUCAAGAUUGUUUUAAUUGGUGAUUCUGCUGUGGGAAAAUCAAACUUGCUUGCAAGAUUUGCCAGAAAUGAGUUCUACUCCAACUCAAAAUCAACCAUUGGAGUUGAGUUCCAAACCCAGAAGUUGGAGAUUGAUGGGAAAGAGGUCAAGGCACAGAUCUGGGACACAGCAGGUCAGGAGCGGUUCAGGGCUGUGACUUCUGCAUACUACAGGGGAGCUGUUGGAGCUCUUUUGGUGUACGACAUCAGUAGACGUCAGACAUUUGAUAGCAUCGGUCGUUGGCUUAAUGAAUUGCACACUCACUCCGACAUGAAUGUGAUCACCAUACUUGUUGGCAACAAGUCUGAUCUCAAGGAUGCCAGGGAGGUAGCCACAGAAGAAGGCAAGGCCUUGGCAGAGGCUCAGGGUUUGUUCUUCAUGGAAACAUCAGCCCUUGAUUCUUCUAAUGUCACUUUUGCCUUCCAGACAGUUGUCAAAGAGAUCUAUAACAUUUUGAGCCGCAAAGUUUUUCUUAGUCAAGAGCACAAGAAACAGGAGCCAGGAUCGAUAUCGAAUGGGAAGACUUUGGUUUUGCAGGGAGAUUCAGUCCAAGAUUCAGAUGGCAGGUCCAGUGGUGGGAAGUGCUGUUCUAACAACUAAAGUGUACAAACAUGUGAGGAUGGCUUCAAGGUAAACGAAUGGAUAGAUUUUUCUUUUGGGUACUAAUGAAGUUGGAUAUAAUUGCUGGAUUUGGCUCCUCUACAGAACAGCGCACCAUGAAGUGCUUAUCUGAUGUGCUGCGGCACAUUGGGGCAUUCACCCCAAGGUGUUUCUGACCGUUGGAUGUGCCAUGCUGUGGAGGAUUUGCAUGCCAUUUCUUCUAUGUUGUGUGGUCAGUCAGCACUCUCUUGUUGCGUUUCACUGGGUUAUCAUUGAUGAAAUCUGUUUAAACAAAACGAGGCAAGGCUUUUGAAGUUGAUUCUAGAGCAAAGAUGUACAGAUUUGAAGGAAUGAAAGGUUUCAAGAGGGAUUUGCUGGAGAGCUAUCCGAUAUGGAAUUGUGUCCUCAAAACAGAUAUCAUCUUGUAUGGCGGUACAAUUGUGUAUCUGCUCGGUAGCUAUCCGAUUUGUCUUGAAUUUAUUGAACAAAUAACUCUUUAGCUUAGAAGUCGAGCUUGAAGCAAUAACAGGUUUGUAACCAACUAUUGCCAAUGGCAAUGGUAGGUCAAGGAAUCCAAGUAUGGUUUCAGAAA
RNA transcript from Macadamia integrifolia, 1612 nucleotides. It is a transcript of the gene named ras-related protein RABA5a, with no coding region annotated. The record is from RefSeq and is a predicted model, not a curated record. The transcript has 7 exons. Lineage: Eukaryota; Viridiplantae; Streptophyta; Magnoliopsida; Proteales; Proteaceae.